CUUCUUAGCCGGCCCGACGCCGCCGCCCACCUUCGCCUCCCACUUCCGGCUCGGCCGGGCCCGGUCGCCACUUCCGGCCGCUCUCCUGGGACGCGCUCACUGCGGACGCGCUCACCUGCCUGGGGCGCCGGGGCACCAGGAUUGAAGGACCGGCUGGAGCAGCUGAAGGCCAAGCAGCUGACACAGGAUGAUGAUGCCGAUGAAGUCGAGAUUGCCGUUGACAACACAGCCUUCAUGGAUGAGUUCUUCUCUGAGAUCGAGGAAACUCGGCUCAACAUUGACAAGAUCUCUGAGCAUGUAGAGGGGGCUAAGAAACUCUACAGUAUCAUUCUGUCUGCACCAAUUCCAGAACCAAAAACCAAGGAUGACCUAGAGCAGCUCACGACUGAAAUCAAGAAAAGGGCCAACAACGUCCGGAACAAACUGAAGAGCAUGGAGAGGCACAUUGAAGAAGACGAGGUCCGCUCAUCUGCAGACCUUCGUAUUCGAAAAUCCCAGCACUCUGUCCUCUCCCGGAAGUUUGUGGAGGUGAUGACCAAAUACAAUGAGGCUCAAGUGGACUUUCGUGAACGCAGCAAAGGGCGAAUCCAGCGGCAGCUCGAAAUCACCGGCAAGAAGACCACAGAUGAGGAGCUGGAGGAGAUGUUGGAGAGUGGAAACCCUGCCAUCUUCACUUCUGGGAUCAUUGACUCUCAGAUUUCCAAGCAAGCCCUCAGUGAGAUCGAGGGACGGCACAAAGACAUCGUGAGGCUGGAGAGCAGCAUCAAGGAGCUCCAUGACAUGUUUAUGGACAUCGCCAUGCUGGUGGAGAAUCAGGGCGAGAUGUUAGAUAACAUAGAGUUGAAUGUCAUGCACACAGUGGAUCACGUGGAGAAGGCACGGGAUGAAACUAAAAAAGCCGUGAAAUACCAGGGGCAGGCCCGGAAGAAGUUGAUAAUUAUCAUUGUGGUAGUAGUUGUGUUGCUGGGCAUUUUAGCAUUGGUUAUUGGACUUUCCGUUGGGCUGAAAUAAGGGCGGCCCAAGAGGCUGCUGCACUGAAAUGUAUUUCUGAUCUUUCCUCUCCACCUUCUAGGUUUGUGGCUGAUUCUUAAUGUUGCCCUUCAACAUCAUCCUGUGCACUGAUCAGCUCCUCCUUCCCCUGCCUCCCUUAGAGCCCGAUUCUACUCCAGCCUGGUGUGGCCACCUUGUCUUCAGAUGGGAAUGGAGUUUGAAUGGCCUUCCCGAAAGAGGAUGGGACCCAUUUCUUUGUUUCCUGUAACCAUCCUUGGACCUGACGCAGCAAACCAUCUAGCCCUGGAGGAGUCUAAUCUACCUGAUGCAACCCUGUGUUUUCCUCAAAACCUGCAGUGUCUGAACCAGCCUGGCUUCUCUUUUUUCCCUCUACUGUGUCAAAUUUUUGCCUUGCACCUUGGAAAGCCAAUUAUUCAAAAUCUUCCCAAGGUGCUGUAUUUCUACCUCAUGGACUGUCAUUCUUCUCCCAGAAAUUGCAUUGUAUCUUUCCUAGGAGGGUUUCUUUAACAAAGCAAAGGGAUUCUUUCCAAUAGUAAGGUUUGGACUUGAGUCUUCUACCUGGCAGGUUCCCAGUCCUCACAGUUUGUUGUCCCUGUGUCCUGAAAAUAUGAGGGAUUGGCAGAUGUCAUUUUGGUCUGAGAGCUGACUUGCUUGAAAUUCAGCCUUAAAUGAAGCUCUUAGUAUAUUUAGGUUAGUGGCCAACUUCGGUAUUUGUCUGUGUUGUAUUCUCUCAUGUUUACUGUAGGUGGCGCCAGUGUGAUGCAGUCAUCUGAGGUUACCAUUUAUGUAGGCUGAGGAGAUGGGAUAUUAGUUUUCAUGGCUGAGUCUUGGAAACUGGUUGCCCACUGUUAAGGGUGAUGCUUUGUGAAGCCACUGCCUUGAAGCCAAAUAUUUUUUACUUAAAAAAAUGUUUGGCAUUUAACAUUGAGCCAGGAACAAGGUGCUUGAGUCUUUGGCUCUGGAAAUGUUUCAGACUGGUGCCAGCAAUCCGUCACUCAUUUCAUGUGUUCCAGGUAAAUUUUUAUAAUUGGCUGAUGUAUAUAUCUCUUCAUGUGUCUCUCAUGAAGUAGGAAGCUAGAAGUGGAGAAUAUAACCUCAAAAAACAAACAACACAGACACACACACACACACACACACACACACACACACCACACCAAAAAUAAACAAAACCCAACAACCUCGAGCUAGGCCAAAAAUUAGGUAAGAGACAUUGCUUACCUGCAAAUGAGUCAUAGUAGAAGUAGGAUCUUUCCAUGUCAUGGAGAAGCCUGCUGGUUCUGGAUGAUGACUGGGAGAAUCGUAGGUCUUUGGGGUGAGGACUAAGUUGAUCUCCAUUAAGUUUUUUCUGGUUAGCAGAUAUGUGGAAAGUUUUGAAACCUUUCACUAUCUGCUGCCUAGGCUAGGCUUGCCCAGAGCAAUUUGAUAUCAUUUGUGUGACCUCUGGAAUGUCCUGUCUCCAGGGCCCAGUCUGUUGGGGGACACCAGGAACUACUGGGUAGCUCCUCCUUCUAUCAGGUUAAUAAGCUUGACAGGUGCUUUGUCUCCCAUAAUCUCAUCAGUGAGGAAGCAAUAGCUGGGAAAUUUUCAAGUGUCAUGACUGUGCUGGCCCAGUUUUGAGCCUCUUAGAUUCCCUGCUGGUCUCUGCCAGUCUGUCUGAUUUAUACUUCAGCAUUGAUUUUAAUGCUUUCUAGGGCAGGGCGAGCACCCUCAUCCAGGCACUGCCCAUUGGCUUCCUUUGUAAAAGCUACUUCCAGUCAUCGUCCAGCACUCAGACAGAGCCAAGGGGAUGCCUCUUGCCCAUGGCUAUGAAGUUGAAGUGGACUGGCUCUAACAGCAAGGCCAGACAAGCUCUAAUCACAGGCUUUUGCUCUCCUGAGAUUGAGGUCUGGGGCUUAUAGUUUGGAAUACAAUAUAAGUGAAGGUUUUUGUUGUUGUUUGUAUUUUUUAAAAAGUACACAUGAUUAUUUUAUUGCUAUUUAAAAAUAAAUGACUUUAUAUUGAUUGUGAAACCAGUUGUCUCAAUUUGCCUGCAAAAUACUUAGUGGUUGGGCGCCACCAUGUGGUGAGCUUAGGCUUUGGAAUGGGGUAUAAAUAUUUUUUAAACAUGUGCUGGGUGAGAUGGAUCCGAAGUUCUAAUUUUUGAAAAUGUUUCAACUCUCAAAGAGUGCAAUGUAAUUGUAUUUGAGUUUCAGAGUUGAGGUGCUCCCCCCAAAGAGUUUGGCCCACUCAUUGAGUGUAGUGGCUCUAGGAGGAUUUGGGGUAAAUCAGUGUGAUGGUACCUAGCUGGCAGCACAUACUACUAGUGAACAGCUAUCCUCCAAGAUAGCUGUUGACUGAAUUUGAAAUCUCUCACUUAGAAGGAACAUUCCUACACUCUGGGUUCUGGAAGCCAGAUCCAUCUCCCCUUUCCUUCAUAUCCCCUUACAUGUCCUGAUCCACGUUGUCUACCUUCCAUGGGAACUCUGUCUGCACAGUGAUGUUGUUUCUCAUGUGCUUUUUCUCUCUUUGUCUGGAUGAGCAGAAGAAGAUCAUGAUCAUGAUCUGCUGUAUCAUCCUUGCGAUCAUCUUAGCUUCUACCAUUGGGGGCAUAUUUGCCUGAAAAAGCCCUCACAGGUGGAUCCUCGACUGGCAUUUUUAAUCCUCCGUCCACCUCUGUGGUGCCAUCACUUCUCACUAAGGAUUCCUCAACAGUGACUCCUCUUUCCAUUAUGAAACCUCUUAUAACACAGGGCAUCAAACACCUACUGAAAGUUAUGCAAAGGGAGACAUUGUGACAAUACAGAGUUGGGCAGCGGGCAGUGAUGAAGGAACAGGGAGUACAGAAAUACGUAGCUGGUUUGAAGCAACCGACUGCAGGGUAACAGGCACCUCUUCAGGAAAUAAAAGCAGAUAUUGUAGCAUACCCAGUUCAUCGGGAUCAAUUGAUCAGGUUUGGGCACUUGUUACUUCUGCUCUUCAGGUUCUUCUAAGUCUCGCCUUUGACCAACCCUACAUCUGCUUCCUUCUUCAGGGCCCUCUAGUCUUUAAAGUGAAGUGCCUAAUGAUAGGCACCAGGCAUGUCUUGUUCACUGCUGUCCUCAGUUUUAGCACAGUGCAGGCCACUCAGAGGUGCUCCACUAUCUGUUGACUUAAUUACCUGUAACUAAACUCUGCUUUCUAUUCAUAAGUCUUUGGAUUUCACUCUUAAACCCAUUAAGCCACCAAUGGAAAAUGGUUUAUUAGUAUCAGAGGUUGCAUAAAAUGCCUGGAAUGGGUUGAUCUACUUAUGUAAAAACAAAACAGGAUCCCCCUUACAACUUAUACUGUAAAGUCCUUUCCCUAUGGAUGGUGGAGCCAUCAACAGUCUCUCACCCUGCUAAGAUGGUUGGUCCCAGGGUUGUGGUUUAAUAACUGAACAUGGAUCCAAAACAGGUUUAUACUUUGGUUGAACUCCUAAGUCAUCAAUAGUGUGCUCUAUGAAUCCUAAAGAAGGAGAUGAAGAUGUUAGGUCAGAAAGGUGAAGUGUGGCUAUCACUCACUUCCUUCUUACCCAAUCCACAUUGUUAACUGAAACUAUGCAGCAAUGUGUGUACAAGAAACUGUUCCAAACACUGUCCCCAAUUCAAGGUUCACAUUUGUUCUAUGCAAUUUAGUGAUAUUUCAAGUGAUUAAAAAUACAUUAAAAAUAGCAUACAACUUUUAAGGACCAUUCAACUGUUUACGUAAAUUUGUACUUUUGAAAGUAAAUUAUUUUCUUUGUGGGAGAUGUCAACUUUUUAAGAAAGUGGGAUAAAAAUAUUUGACAUUUUAUUCUACCCACUUUCAAAAGCAAAUGAUUUAAUGUUUCUAUCAAUUUGUAUUUCCUUUAGCAUGAAGAAUGGAUAGAGAAUUGCUGGCUAGUCCUGAAAAACAGAUUAAUCUUGGCAAAUGCAAAUAGGAAGCUGGAACCAUGGGGCCCUCAUUUAUACAGCAGUAACUAUUCAAGUCCUGUUGGCACACUGCACUGUACUAGAACCCACAGGGAUACAAAGAUAGAGCCAGGUACUCUUCCUCCUUAAACAGUUUCAGAUCUAGGAAAGGCCACACAAUUCUAACUUUUGUUUUUCAGUUCCUUUUGCUAAAAGGCAAGAGUGUGUUCCCAGUACCUGCCCCCAACCCCCAAGAUUGAGAGAAGAUGGGUAGCUGGGCAUGAGUAAAUAUUUGUUGAAUUAA
Myotis lucifugus (little brown bat) is the source of this 5202-nucleotide RNA transcript. It is a transcript of the gene named syntaxin 3, with no coding region annotated. NCBI's taxonomy places the organism in Eukaryota, Metazoa, Chordata, Mammalia, Chiroptera, Vespertilionidae. The transcript is spliced from 12 exons. The record is from RefSeq and is a predicted model, not a curated record.